AACGCGAAGAACCUUACCAGGUCUUGACAUCUGAAUGCAAACUCUAGAGAUAGAGUCCUUCUUCGGAACAUUCAAGACAGGUGGUGCAUGGUUGUCGUCAGCUCGUGUCGUGAGAUGUUGGGUUAAGUCCCGCAACGAGCGCAACCCUUGAUCUUAGUUGCCAGCACUUCGGGUGGGCACUCUAGGAUGACUGCCGGUGACAAACCGGAGGAAGGUGGGGAUGACGUCAAAUCAUCAUGCCCCUUAUGACCUGGGCUACACACGUACUACAAUGGUCGAUACAACGGGAAGCGAAGCCGCGAGGUGGAGCCAAUCCUAUCAAAGUCGAUCUCAGUUCGGAUUGCAGGCUGCAACUCGCCUGCAUGAAGUCGGAAUUGCUAGUAAUCGCGGAUCAGCAUGCCGCGGUGAAUACGUUCCCGGGCCUUGUACACACCGGUACUA
RNAcentral lists this ribosomal RNA (441 nucleotides) under uncultured bacterium. RNAcentral describes it as "bacterial SSU rRNA". It matches the Rfam family "Bacterial small subunit ribosomal RNA", at positions 958 to 1398 of the family's 1533-position model. The record is from RNAcentral.